AACGGCCGCGGUAUCUUGACCGUGUGAAGGUAGCGUAAUCAUUUGUCUUUUAAAUGAAGACCUGUAUGAAUGGCACAACGAGGGCUUGACUGUCUCACUUUCUUGGUCAAUGAAAUUGAUCCCCCCGUGCAGAAGCGGGGAUAAAAACACAAGACGAAAAGACCCUGUGGAGCUUUAAACAAAAUAAUACACGAACCUAUUCAUUAUACAGUGCCUAUUAUUAUGUUUUUGGUUGGGGCGACCACGGAGAAAAAAAUAACCUCCACGCGGAAGAACAAGAAAGUUCUUAAAAACAAGAAACCACACUUCUAAGUUCCAGAAUAUCUGUCCACAAAGACCCGGCAAUUAAUUGCCGAUCAACGAACCAAGUUACCCCAGGGAUAACAGCGCAAUCCCCUUUUAGAGCCCUUAUCAACAAGGGGGUUUACGACCUCGAUGUUGGAUCAGGACAACCUAAU
RNAcentral lists this ribosomal RNA (458 nucleotides) under Laimosemion frenatum. RNAcentral's name for it is "partial 16S ribosomal RNA". It matches the Rfam family "Bacterial large subunit ribosomal RNA", at positions 1926 to 2551 of the family's 2925-position model. The record is from RNAcentral. Lineage: Eukaryota; Metazoa; Chordata; Actinopteri; Cyprinodontiformes; Rivulidae.